This 2325-nucleotide long non-coding RNA is filed under the name Marmota monax (woodchuck). Lineage: Eukaryota; Metazoa; Chordata; Mammalia; Rodentia; Sciuridae. The record is from RNAcentral.
CAAAAGUCCAGGACACUUUGGCUUCCAGGGUACUGUGCGUCCACGUCCUUGCCCACCUCUCUCUAGAGGAGAGGCCAGAGGUCAAGGGUGUGGUCCUUAAGGACCCUCUGACUGAAGCUCAGUCACUGUGCUGCACCUUGGGCCUGGAAUGCAGUCCAGCCACACCAGCAGGGUCCCCCCAGCAGCUCCCCUACAGGGUAGUCACUGUCCUCUCACAAGACACCCACUGAGCAGCCCUGGUAGCAGCUCUAAAGGCCAUAAUGGCUCCCUUUUCCUGAGACAAGAGCUGCUUCUAGUGUGGAUCUGCCUCUGAGGCUGUCACCAGAGAGCAAAUGGCAUCAUUCAAAGAAUUCAAGAAGCCCUCCCUCCACUCGGCCAGGUGCCUCCAAGCCUUCUCAGGUUAAAUGCCCCAGCUCUUCAGCCACACCUCCUGUGACAGCACCUAUAGACCCCUUCACCAGCUGGUGCCCCUAUCAGGAAGACCUUCAGAGUCCUCUGCUCCUGUGGUUUGAUAUACAUGUGAUCCAGCCAGUAAAGAGGGGGUGACCAUCCCUCCCUCUGCUGUGGAUGGUGUUCUAUUAAUGCCUCCCAAACACACCUCAGACUUUCAGGCGGCCAACCCUCCCGCGCUUGCUACUAUGGUAGGCAUUGGUUACUAAUCAAGAGCCCAUCCUAUACUCUUCUGCCUGCUGCUGAGGUCUGACAUUUUUUAGGUGUUCGCCCUUCCCCUGACCCAGUCCCAAGGACUCCACCAAUCACAGUGGCCUCAAACGCCUGUCCAAAGGCUGGGUUAUGUUUCAUUCUGGUUUGGGGCUCUUCAGGAAUGUCUUGGUGGAGCAGACGCAUUGGGAAAGGCUUCCUUCCUCCUAAAAUAUAUCAUGGGGGAGGACACACCCCUCUGCUUUGGGCCUUGCCAGGUCUGUGACGUCUGGGAACCGAGGCAGCCAUCUUGCAACCAUGAGGGGAAGCAUCAUGGACACAAUGAAGAUGGCAAAGGGAAGAGAUGGAAAGACUGAACAAACCCAGGAAGCCCUGCCCUCCACACCUCUUGUCAUAGUGAUGACAGGUGGCAGACGGACCCAAAUGGGUUUUCUGUUAGUGGCAGCUGAAGGCCUCACAGCCCACGCUUCCUGUGACAGGAUUGUCAUACAGUCUGAGCCUACUGGACCCCAAGGAAGAAAUAGGUUUUUUCCUUCCCUUGGGAUCUUUAACAACCCUAAGUUGACUCUCCCAUUCCUGUCUCUUAAAUGACACUGAGGGCCAGACUCAAAGAUUGGUGGUCUCUCUUGGAUGUACAGAAAUCCAGUCCAGUCUGACCCACUUAAAAACUUCAGUCUCAAAUCCACCAAAUGCUAAUAGUCUCCCUGUUCCUGGGACAGACCAUACCACAGUCCAAUCAGGGAGAGGGACAAAAAUGACAAUGGAGCCCUCGGUAUGGCCAGGGUCCAGAUACUGACACCUACUGGGAUCCAGAGGAUCCAUGCAGGAGUCUCUCCCGGCUCUGCUCCAAAGAGGGGCCACCCAAUGUCCCCUCAGCUCUGCUCCUGUUGGUCCCCACAGCCAGUCCUCUGCCACUUCCCAGUGUCCACUUGGCACACAGACAAUGCACACAUGCUGACCAUCCCAGAUAGUGGGAGUGCAGAGAGCCCCCAAGGAGCCCUGCCACCUCUGCCUGCUGCUCCUUACCCUCGGUCCCAGGCAGAGGGAGAGGAGCAAGCUCACAUCAGCAGAGGAAUCUGCCCAGGGAAGAAGAAGCCACGUGCCCUCCUUGCAGAGUCCAUGCCUGGUUCCUGGGUGCCUGCUGCCCCAGCCUAUCUUGGAGUCUUCCCCCGGUGACAACCCUCAACCUCAGUCAUCCUUUCUCCUCCCUCUCAGUGAUCCAGACGGCAGAGAACAGGGACACCUCUUUGUCCUUGACUGUAUGUUCUGGUGGCAAAUUCUAGGGCAAGAGAGAAGCUCGGUGCCCAUUUACACCCCUUUCGAGCCCCGCCUCUCCCAUGCUGGAGCUCAGCAUGUGUGUGCUCCUCCCGUGUCGGCGCAACACAGCACACCUGCACACUUAUACCACUGCUGCUGUGCCAGGCUUUUGGUGACAUCCCCGUGUUGAAGACUGGCUCCAUGGUAAAUUGAUUUCUCCCCUCUCCCAGCCCCACCUCAUCCACUGAUUUGAUAAUCCAGCCUUCUGUGCCAUUACUCAAGCCUUUGAUGAUGAAAGUAUCAAAGAGGACAGAACGCGAUAGAGGGCCCUUAAUUCAGGGUGACAUUUAUUCCGGCAUGUUCUUGGUGAACUGUUGCUGGCUCCAUCUACUCACCACUUCCUUUUAU